This is a long non-coding RNA of Eptesicus fuscus (big brown bat), 648 nucleotides long. RefSeq lists it as uncharacterized. The record is from RefSeq and is a predicted model, not a curated record. NCBI's taxonomy places the organism in Eukaryota, Metazoa, Chordata, Mammalia, Chiroptera, Vespertilionidae. The transcript is spliced from 3 exons.
AACAGUUGGGCUCCCAUUUAAGGGCCCUCUCUUUAGCUCUUUACCCAAUGCAGCCAGUAUCUGGGGUAUAAUGGGUCUCUGUUGACCAUAGACAUCACUAUGGUUCUAUGCUGGUGUUCACCCCCCAACACUGGAAUGACAACAAAAUGAGAGAUUUCAUUCUAUGUUCCAAACCUUUCUCAAGCACAGACUCUCAUCAAAUCCAAUUGCUCUGCAUCUUGCUCUCUUGGGAUUAGGUGUGGGAUAAGAUAAAAAAGCAAUGGGAAUUUGCUAACCAAAGACAUCCUUCAGGGGACUAUUGAGGCGAACAUGCCUUCAAAAUGAUUAAUCCACUCGCCUUUCAGAAGUCUGUUUUGCUGGGCCCACGGCCACUGCCAAGAAAGGACACACUGUGACCACCAGCACCAGGAAGCAAAGAACAGCUUCCAAACUCAAGGGAGGCUGAAUGUUGAAGAGUCUUUUACCAGAACUGAUCCCAUUCAGCACCCUGCCUAGAACUGACAACCCAAUUUCAACACCAAUCAAUCAGUAAGAAUUUAUUGACUGCUACCAUGUCCCCCAUACUACUUACAAUACUGGCAAAGACCUAGAAGAAUCAUAAAACAUAUUCACCUUCUCAAAGGACUUAGAUUUGACUAGGGUUUUCAA